GAGAGGUAUGAGGGUAGCUUGGAAGACAAUAUAGUUAGGGGAGCAUGGGAGAAUUAGUUGGGUUUUCUUUGUGAGAGGAGCUUGGUGGUUGUUGGAGCAAGAAUGAGAGCUUGGGGAAGAAAAUAGCUUGAGCUGAGAGAAGAAAAAGUUGAGAGGAAUAAGCAGGGGAGAGGAGAGUGAGCUUUGGAGAGAUGCUUGAGAGAGAGAGCAAUCUGAGAGACUUUGAGAGGUGAGACCGAAGAAAGUGAGAGAAAGAGAAGAGAACUAAAGCAGAGCACGAGGAAGAGGAAGAAAGUUGGAGUCUUACCGGUUUAGGAGUAUAAGAAAGUGUGAGAAGUUGGCCAAGCUUUGAGAAACCUACGUAUGAUCAAUGUACAUUUCACCGUUUUCUUCUUCUGUGUUUGUUGAUUUUGAAUAUUAUUUGUUGAUUUGGGUGCAAAUAUCAUGUUUCCAUGUGUUGCUUGUUGCCUUUAAGCGGUUGAUAGAUUAGAUCUUGCCAUAUUCGUCCAUGCUCCUUUGUUUUUUUAUAUAUAUCCUGAAUACGGUUUAAUUUUGUUGGGUGAUGUAAUGACCGGGUAUUUUAUGACACGUUAACAUUUUUAGUUUGAAAAGUCUUAUUUUGUGUGAUGGUUGAAAAGUCAAAAAGAAAAGUGUUUGGAAAACACGUGUCAAUUUCGGAUUGGUGAAUUUCAUUUUAUUGUGUCGGUCAAUUAGACGAGUUGAAAUUUUAUGUCAUGUCAGCCUUAGGGUAGAAAAUUUAUUAAGAUUUUAGAAAUUGAAAAUUUCCAGAAACGAAAAACGAAAACGAAAAAAAAAUUAAAAAGAAUUAAUUAAAAAUUAAUUAGAAUUAAUUAAAAAUUAAUUAGAAUUAAUUAAGAAAAAUUAAAUUAAAUUGAUGAAUAAUAAAAUUGAGAAAAUUAGUUUUAGAUUGGUGUUAAUAAAUAAAUUUGUGUGUUAAAAAAAAUGAAUUGGAAAUUAAAUAAAACAAAUAGAAUAAAUAAAAGAAAAGUAAAAUAAAAGAAAUGAAAUGAAAAUAUUCAAUGGGCUAUUAAACUUGGGUCAUGUAAAGGUAGUAUGAAUUAUUAAAAAAAAAAUGAAAUGGAAUUGAGCCUUUGAUUUUGGGCUUAAGUGGCUGGUGAAAUUUAGUAAAAAACAAAAAAAAAAAAAAAAAAAAAAGAGGGAGAAUUAGAAACUGGUAGCACGCGGGGAGAGAGAGAAGGGCAUUGUGCAGAAAUUUGAUCACUCGUCGGAUCUUUGACCGGCCGUUUGGAUGGCCAAACGACCUCCAUUUCGGCCCAAAUUUGGAGAAAGUGCUUUAUACGACUAGAGGAACAAGUCUACGGUGGCUGAUUUCAUUUUUAAAGGUCAACUUCUCAGAUUUGUGGUAGGAGAAAACUAACCCUAAAACUCAAAUUUAAUGUAUUUUCCAUUGGAAAAAAAAAAUUAUAAAUCUGAUAUUUAUGAGUUAAGUAGAUAAUUUUGAUGUUGUGUGAAUUUUCUGGAAUGAUUUGGGAUUUUUUCUGGAUUUUUUUUGUAAUUUCCAGAAUUCGUUGUAAUUGAUAAUUAAUCGUUUUAGGUUGUUAAAAAUUAUUAGAAAUAUAGGAAAAUUCUAGAAUUAUGGCAAGAUUUCAAAUCUAGUGAUUUAUGAAUUUCUGAAAAUUGAUUGGAAUAUUUGCGGCAAUUUUAUUGUGGAAAAUUAGUUAUUUUCAAAUAUUGGGAAUUAUUAAAAUUAUUGAAAAAUUCUGAAAUUGUGAUAUAAAUUCAAGUAUAUUGAUGUGUGAAUUUUUGAAAUUUUGUUGGUGUAUUUUCGAGAAUUUUAAUGUAAAAAUUUCAUUUUAUUGGGUUAUUGAGAAUGUUGGAAUUAUUGAAAUUGUAGAAAUUAUUGAGGAAUUUUAGAGUUUGUGGCAUUCACUUGCAUCAUGGUUGUAUGAAAAAAAAAAUUAUGAAAAGUGUAUGAAAUGGAAAAAAAAUAAAAUAGUGAUGAAAAGUGAAAGCCGUGUGAGGCGAAUUAAGAAGGGAGAGAGAUCCCCAGGAUGAAAGACCUAAAAGUUUACCUCGAGAAGACUCCGAAUGGGGAGUAUAUUUGGGUGCGAACGCUUAUCCUUCGGUGAAAGCCCGAGAACGAUAGUGCAUUGUAUGACUGUGUGUCACACAUUCAUAUGCAUUCAUUUAAUGAUUGGAUGUUGUGGGAUUGAGUAUAAUGUUAUAUGUUAAAUUGUGUGACUUGAUUUAUAUUGGUAAACUGUUGUGUUUGGGUUAUUAAAAUAUAGUAAUCCCCCAUUAACCCUUUGGGUGUUAGACACCCUAUUGAGCAAUGUGGAAAUGUUCACACCUUCAUUUUUAUAUCUUUUUAGAUGCAGAUAUCACUCCUAAGGAUCCACAAGUGGGACAGGGAGGACUUCAGGAUACCCCUGGAGCGGUUUAGUGGAAUGUGUUUUAUUUUUUUAUUGUGUUUGUGGU
This 2460-nucleotide long non-coding RNA is filed under the name Vitis vinifera (wine grape). RNAcentral's name for it is "long non-coding RNA (VVIN_LNC003143)". The record is from RNAcentral. Lineage: Eukaryota; Viridiplantae; Streptophyta; Magnoliopsida; Vitales; Vitaceae.